Molecule: ribosomal RNA, 440 nt
Filed under: uncultured bacterium
Lineage: Bacteria
Description: partial 16S ribosomal RNA
Rfam family: Bacterial small subunit ribosomal RNA
Source: RNAcentral
CCUACGGGAGGCAGCAGUAGGGAAUAUUGCUCAAUGGGGGAAACCCUGAAGCAGCAACGCCGCGUGGAGGAUGAAGGUUUUCGGAUUGUUAACUCCUUUUGUUAGAGAAGAUAAUGACGGUAUCUAACGAAUAAGCACCGGCUAACUCCGUGCCAGCAGCCGCGGUAAUACGGAGGGUGCAAGCGUUACUCGGAAUCACUGGGCGUAAAGAGCGCGUAGGCGGGAUAGCAAGUCAGAUGUGAAAUCCUAUGGCUUAACCAUAGAACUGCAUUUGAAACUGGUGUUCUAGAGUAUGGGAGAGGUAGGUGGAAUUCUUGGUGUAGGGGUAAAAUCCGUAGAGAUCAAGAGGAAUACUCAUUGCGAAGGCGACCUGCUAGAACAUAACUGACGCUGAUGCGCGAAAGCGUGGGGAGCAAACAGGAUUAGAUACCCUUGUAGUC